CGCUCGACAUCAGAGUUUGAUCCUGGCUCAGGACGAACGCUGGCGGCGUGCUUAACACAUGCAAGUUGAACGGGGAAUUUUACUUCGGUUUAAUUCCUAGUAGCGAACGGGUGAGUAACGCGUAAAGAACUUGCCUCUUAGACCGGGACAACAUCUGGAAACGGAUGCUAAUACCGGAUAUUAUGGUUUUUUCGCAUGGAGGAAUCAUGAAAGCUAGAUGCGCUAAGAGAGAGCUUUGCGUCCCAUUAGCUAGUUGGUGAGGUAACGGCCCACCAAGGCAACGAUGGGUAGCCGGCCUGAGAGGGUGAACGGCCACAAGGGGACUGAGACACGGCCCUU
RNAcentral lists this ribosomal RNA (339 nucleotides) under uncultured bacterium. RNAcentral describes it as "bacterial SSU rRNA". It matches the Rfam family "Bacterial small subunit ribosomal RNA", at positions 1 to 334 of the family's 1533-position model. The record is from RNAcentral.